CUCUCUCUCUCUCUCUCUCUCUCUCACUCUCUCUCUCUUUGUCGCUGUUAACACCAUUUUCUCUCCUCGACAUCACGCUCACUCUCUCUAUGUCUCAGCCUCUCAAGUCUCGCACUACCGCGAGGAAGAAGAAAGAUAAACAGCGAAGACAAGAUAGUGCCAAUGGUGGGGGCAAAAAACAUAAAAAGUUGUAGAUAGGAAGCAAGGAGGAGAGGGUACCAAUGGUGGGGACAAGAUCUUGAACAGAGACGAGAUGAAGCUAAUGAAGAGGCUGCUCUUGCCGACCACAGAGUCCCCCAUCAGCAAGAUCAUGAGUAAUUGUUUCCUUGCUUUUAACAGAGGAAGAGGAAAGCAGCAAAGCAAAGGACGGGAAAGCAAUACAAUGAAACAAAAAGAAGACGACACAUAAUGGAGGGAGAAGGAGAGAUAAGAAACUCAAGAAACAUUUGCUUUUAACAUCAAUUUCUCUCUUCAACGCCACUUUCUCUCUCUAUGUCUCGACCUCUUAGAACUUGCACAGCCUAAGGAAGAAAGAAAAACAGUAAGGAGUCGCUUGCGAAGAAAAAAGAGAAACAGUGAGGAGUCUCCCACCAAAUUAAGGAAACAAUGGACUUUUUCACCUUCGGAAGCCAAAACAAUGACUUAUCCACCAUCAAGAGCCCAACUAUGCUUUGCACCUCACCAAGAAAAGAAGAGUCCGCCGCUAAUGAAUGCAUGUUUUGGGCAUUCAUCGCGACAACAAGAAUCCCCUAAAACUAGAAGUGAGAAGAUAGACAGAGCAGACUUACUUGCUAAUCUACUUGAGAAAGAGGAAAGACAAAGAAGGAGAAGAAGAAGGACGAUUCUGACAAUGAUUUCGGUGAUGAUUCAACCGAUGACUUUGAUGAUGAUUCAAGUGAUGAAUCUGAAACAAUGAUUUAGGUUAUGAUUCUGACGAGUUUUAGCGCUAUAUCUCUCGCCGCGAACUUGCCCAACUGUCAGACCAGAGCACUACCCCCUCUACUGAUGAUGAAAAUGAUGAUGUUGAUUUCUUCAUGCUUGAUGCUGCCGAUGAUGAUUUCUUCUAUGAUGAUCCACCCUCCCCAAUGUCUAAUGAUGAAGAUGAUGAUCCUGAAUUGGAUGAUUAGUUUUGUUGUUCUCGCUUAUAGUUGUUCCCGCUCAAUCCUUUGGUAAUCCUAUUUAUAAAAGGAAAAUUUUAUUGGAAAUGAAUGAAAUUUGUCUUAUCGUUGAGGUUAAGCGAUGAUUUGUUCA
Punica granatum (pomegranate) is the source of this 1251-nucleotide non-coding RNA. NCBI's taxonomy places the organism in Eukaryota, Viridiplantae, Streptophyta, Magnoliopsida, Myrtales, Lythraceae. The record is from RefSeq and is a predicted model, not a curated record.